This 253-nucleotide ribosomal RNA is filed under the name uncultured bacterium. RNAcentral describes it as "partial 16S ribosomal RNA". It matches the Rfam family "Bacterial small subunit ribosomal RNA", at positions 524 to 776 of the family's 1533-position model. The record is from RNAcentral.
UACGUAGGGGGCAAGCGUUGUCCGGAGUUACUGGGCGUAAAGCGCACGCAGGCGGUUGGCCGCGUGGGUGGUGACAGUCCUCGGCUUAACUGAGGAAGCGCUGCCCAAACGGGUCAACUUGAGGGCCAGAGAGGGACACGGAACUCCGGGAGGAGCGGUGAAAUGCGUAGAGAUCCGGAAGAACACCGAAGGCGAAGGCAGUGUCCUGGCUGGUUCCUGACGCUCAGGUGCGAAAGCUAGGGGAGCAAACAGG